Molecule: transfer RNA, 74 nt
Filed under: Ktedonobacter sp. 13_2_20CM_53_11
Lineage: Bacteria; Bacillati; Chloroflexota; Ktedonobacteria; Ktedonobacterales; Ktedonobacteraceae
Also listed under: 4 other names
Description: tRNA-Gln
Rfam family: tRNA
About the family: Transfer RNA (tRNA) molecules are approximately 80 nucleotides in length.
Source: RNAcentral
UGGGGUGUCGUUCAACGGUAGGACUGCCGACUCUGGAUCGGCCGAUUGGGGUUCGAAUCCCUGCACCCCAGCCA